CCUACGGGUGGCAGCAGUGGGGAAUAUUGCGCAAUGGGGGCAAGCCUGACCCAGCAACGCCGCGUGAGGGAAGAAGGCUUUCGGGUUGUAAACCUCUAUUGUCAGGGACGAAGCAGGCGAUGGUACCUGAAGAAUACGCCACGGCCAACUACGCACCAGCAGCCGCGGUAAGACGUAGGCGGCAAGCGUUAUCCGGAUUUAUUGGGUGUAAAGGCCGUGUAGGCGGGAAUGCAAGUCAGAUGUGAAAACUAUGGGCUCAACCCAUGGACUGCAUUUGAAACUGUACUGCUUGAGUGCAGGGGAGGCAAGCGGAAUUCCGUGUGUAGCGGUGAAAUGCGUAGAUAUAAGGAGGAACACCAGUGGCGAAGGCGGAUUGCUGGACAGUAACUGACGCUGAGGCGCGAAAGCGUGGGGAGCAAACAGGAUUAGAUACCCGAGUAGUC
RNAcentral lists this ribosomal RNA (443 nucleotides) under uncultured bacterium. RNAcentral's name for it is "partial 16S ribosomal RNA". It matches the Rfam family "Bacterial small subunit ribosomal RNA", at positions 338 to 795 of the family's 1533-position model. The record is from RNAcentral.